UAUAAAUUGAGAGUUUGAUCCUGGCUCAGGAUGAACGCUGGCGGCGUGCCUAACACAUGCAAGUCGAGCGGACGAAUAUCAAUGAAGCCUUCGGGUG
Molecule: ribosomal RNA, 97 nt
Filed under: Natranaerovirga pectinivora
Lineage: Bacteria; Bacillati; Bacillota; Clostridia; Lachnospirales; Natranaerovirgaceae
Description: partial 16S ribosomal RNA
Rfam family: Bacterial small subunit ribosomal RNA
Source: RNAcentral